CCAACUGUUUACCAAAAACAUAGCCUUUAGCUAAACAAGUAUUAAAGGUCCCGCCUGCCCAGUGACUAUUAAACGGCCGCGGUAUCCUAACCGUGCAAAGGUAGCAUAAUCACUUGUCCCCUAAAUAGGGACUAGAAUGAACGGCUAAAUGAGGACUAAACUGUCUCUUGCAGAAGGCCAAUGAAACUGAUCUUCCAGUCCAAAAGCUGGGAUAUUAUCACAAGACGAGAAGACCCUGUGGAGCUUAAAACCUUAACCACUAAACAUGUUCUCUUCUGGUUUUUAGUUGGGGCGACUUCGGAGUACAAAAACCCUCCGACAAAACAUUAUUGAGAUUUACACAUCAAAAUAGCCAACUUGACCCAGUAGUUUUAGCCAAACUAUCUGAUCAAUGAACCAAGUUACCCCAGGGAUAACAGCGCUAUCCCCUUCUAGAGUCCAUAUCGACAAGGGGGCUUACGACCUCGAUGUUGGAUCAGGAUACCCUAAUAGUGCAACCGCUAUUAAGGGUUCGUUUGUUCAACGAUUAAUAAUCCUACGUGAUCUGAGUUCAGACCGG
Molecule: ribosomal RNA, 559 nt
Filed under: Eremias arguta (steppe-runner)
Lineage: Eukaryota; Metazoa; Chordata; Lepidosauria; Squamata; Lacertidae
Description: partial 16S ribosomal RNA
Rfam family: Bacterial large subunit ribosomal RNA
Source: RNAcentral